RNAcentral lists this ribosomal RNA (450 nucleotides) under uncultured bacterium. Its description in RNAcentral is "bacterial SSU rRNA". It matches the Rfam family "Bacterial small subunit ribosomal RNA", at positions 354 to 796 of the family's 1533-position model. The record is from RNAcentral.
GUGGGGAAUCUUCCGCAAUGGACGAAAGUCUGACGGAGCAACGCCGCGUGAGUGAAGAAGGUUUUCGGAUCGUAAAGCUCUGUCUUAAAGGACGAACGUGCUUAUUGUGAAUAAUGAUAAGCAAUGACGGUACUUUAGGAGGAAGCCACGGCUAACUACGUGCCAGCAGCCGCGGUAAUACGUAGGUGGCGAGCGUUGUCCGGAAUUAUUGGGCGUAAAGGGCGCGUAGGCGGGAUAUUAAGUCUGUCUUAAAAGUGCAGGGCUCAACCCUGUGAGGGGACAGAAACUAUUAUUCUUGAGUGCAGGAGAGGAAAGUGGAAUUCCCAGUGUAGCGGUGAAAUGCGUAGAUAUUGGGAGGAACACCAGUGGCGAAGGCGACUUUCUGGACUGUGUCUGACGCUGAGGCGCGAAAGCCAGGGGAGCGAACGGGAUUAGAAACCCGGGUAGUCC